This 253-nucleotide ribosomal RNA is filed under the name uncultured bacterium. RNAcentral's name for it is "partial 16S ribosomal RNA". It matches the Rfam family "Bacterial small subunit ribosomal RNA", at positions 524 to 776 of the family's 1533-position model. The record is from RNAcentral.
UACGUAGGCAGCGAGCGUUGUUCGGAAUUACUGGGCGUAAAGAGUGUGUAGGCGGUGCUCUAAGUUCGGUGUGAAAUCUCUUGGCUCAACUGGGAGGGUGCGCCGGAAACUGGAGUGCUUGAGCGUGGGAGAGGAAAGCGGAAUUCCUGGUGUAGCGGUGAAAUGCGUAGAUAUCAGGAGGAACACCUGUGGUGUAGACGGCUUUCUGGACCAUAGCUGACGCUGAGACACGAAAGCGUGGGUAGCAAACAGG